Molecule: ribosomal RNA, 1512 nt
Filed under: metagenome
Description: bacterial SSU rRNA
Rfam family: Bacterial small subunit ribosomal RNA
Source: RNAcentral
AGAGUUUGAUCCUGGCUCAGGACACACGCUAGCGGCGUACUUAACGAAUGCGAGUCGAGCGAUGAACUCGGCCUGCGGCUUCGUCCAAAGGUUGGGAAUCAGCGGCAAACGGGUGAGUAACACGUAGCUAACCUACCCUCGAGAUCGGGAUAGCUGCCAGAAAUGGCGGGUAAUACCGGGUACGUCCCCCUGGUCGCAUGACUGGGAGGGGAGAGGCUUCGGUCGCUCGAGGAUGGGGCUGCGGCUCAUUAGCUAGUUGGUAGGGUAACGGCCUACUAAGGCGACGAUGGGUAGCCGGCCUGAGAGGGUGCCCGGCCACACUGGGACUGAGACAUGGUCCAGACUCCUACGGGAGUUAGCAUCGAGGGAUAUUGCGCAAUGGGCGAAAGCCUGACGCAGUGACGCCGCGUGGGUGACGAAGGCCUUCGGGUCGUAAAGCCCUGUCGGGUGGGAUGAAGCCCCCGGGUAGUGCCGGGGGGUGACAGUACCGCCCAAGAAAGCCACAGCUAACUACGUGCCAGCAGCUGCGGUAAUACGUAGGUGACAAGCGUUGUCCGGAAUUACUGGGCGUAAAGGGCAUCUAGGCGGCUUGAUAAGUGGAAUGUGAAAGUCCGGGACUCAACCUCGGAAAGCCGUUUCAAACUGUCAGGCUUGAGUGCGGGAGAGGGAAGUGGAACUCACGGUGUAGCGGUGAAAUGCGUAGAUAUCGUGAGGAACACCAGUGGCGAAGGCGGCUUCCUGGACCGCAACUGACGCUGAAGUGCGAAAGCUAGGGGAGCAAACGGGAUUAGAUACCCCGGUAGUCCUAGCCGUAAACGAUGACCACUAGGUGUUGGGGGCAUCGACCCUCCCAGUGCCGAAGCUAACGCAUUAAGUGGUCCGCCUGGGGAGUACGGCCGCAAGGCUGAAACUCAAAGGAAUUGACGGGGGCCCGCACAAGCGGUGGAGCAUGUUGCUUAAUCCGACGCAACGCGAAGAACCUUACCAGGCCUUGACUACUAGCGACCGCCCUCGAAAGGGGGCUUCCGGGCAACCGGCGCGAAAAACAGGUGGUGCAUGGCUGUCGUCAGCUCGUGUCGUGAGAUGUUGGGUUAAGUCCCGCAACGAGCGCAACCCUCGCUGCGUGUUACCAGCGGGUUAUGCCGGGGACUCACGCGGUACUGCCGGAGCAAUCCGGAGGAAGGUGGGGAUGACGUCAAGUCGGCAUGCCCCUUAAGGUCUGGGCUGCAAACAUGCUACAAUGGCCGGUACAAAGGGCUGCAAGGUCGCGAGGCCAAGCCAAUCCCUAAAAGCCGGUCUCAGUUCGGAUUGGAGUCUGCAACUCGACUCCAUGAAGCUGGAAUCGCUAGUAACCGCAGAUCAGCAACGCUGUGGUGAAUACGUUCCCGGGCCUUGUACACACCGCCCGUCACGUCAUGAAAGCCGGCUACACCCGAAGCCAAUGGGCCAACCCUUCGGGGAGGCAGUUGUCGAAGGUGAAUCCGGUGAUUGGGACGAAGUCGUAACAAGGUA